GCAAUAGUUUCCUCACUAAAUGAAGACAUGGAUGGCACCCACAACAGCAAACAACCACUGAUAAGUCAUACUCUCUUCCUGUUGGUGGUUCAAUUUGGCACAACACAGCUUAUCAAUUAAUUAAAAGAUUAUUUUAACCAGCAUGUCUGUUUUAAAAUGUCCUAGCCUAGGGAGAGACUAGUACAAGACCUGAUAUGGCUGUAAGCUCCCCUAAUACUGCCCAGCCAAUCACAGCUGCUGCAGACAGUCAGCAUGUAUACGGUCAUCCUUUUUGUGUUAAUUGUUAACUCUUGUUCAUUGUGGAGAAAAUAAAGCAUUUCUAAAAUUUCAUGAA
Long non-coding RNA from Astyanax mexicanus (Mexican tetra), 334 nucleotides. RefSeq lists it as uncharacterized. Lineage: Eukaryota; Metazoa; Chordata; Actinopteri; Characiformes; Acestrorhamphidae. The record is from RefSeq and is a predicted model, not a curated record. The transcript is spliced from 3 exons.